This 119-nucleotide ribosomal RNA is filed under the name Ipomoea nil (Japanese morning glory). Lineage: Eukaryota; Viridiplantae; Streptophyta; Magnoliopsida; Solanales; Convolvulaceae. The record is from RNAcentral.
GGAUGCGAUCAUACCAGCACUAAUGCACCGGAUCCCAUCAGAACUCCGAAGUUAAGCGUGCUUGGGCGAGAGUAGUACUAGGAUGGGUGACCCCCUGGGAAGUCCUCGUGUUGCACCCC